GCCGGGAUAGCUCAGU
This 16-nucleotide transfer RNA is filed under the name Larix laricina (tamarack). Its description in RNAcentral is "partial tRNA-Phe". RNAcentral also lists the same sequence under 158 other names. The record is from RNAcentral. Lineage: Eukaryota; Viridiplantae; Streptophyta; Pinopsida; Pinales; Pinaceae.